UAUUGGGAUCUAGCAAUAUUUACUGAUGAACGUACAGGAAAACCCUCUUUGGAUUUGCCUAAGAUCUUUGGAAUUCAUUUAUUUCUCUCAGGGGUGGCUUGCUUUGGUUUUGGUGCAUUUCAUGUAACAGGGUUGUAUGGUCCUGGAAUAUGGGUGUCCGAUCCUUAUGGACUAACCGGAAGGGUACAGGCCGUAAAUCCAGCGUGGGGUGUGGAGGGUUUUGAUCCUUUUGUUCCGGGAGGAAUAGCUUCUCAUCAUAUUGCAGCAGGGACCUUAGGCAUAUUGGCAGGUCUAUUUCAUCUUAGUGUUCGUCCACCCCAACGCCUAUACAAAGGAUUACGUAUGGGAAAUAUUGAAACCGUCCUUUCCAGUAGUAUUGCUGCUGUCUUUUUUGCAGCUUUUGUAGUUGCUGGAACUAUGUGGUAUGGUUCAGCAACUACCCCGAUUGAAUUGUUUGGUCCCACGCGCUAUCAAUGGGAUCAAGGAUACUUCCAACUAAGAAAUAUAUAGAAGAAUUGGUGCUGGCUUAGCCGAAAAUCAAAGUUUAUCCGAAGCUUGGUCGAAAAUUCCUGAAAAACUGGCUUUUUAUGAUUACAUCGGCAAUAAAUCCGGCAAAAAGGGGGGAUUAUUCAGAGCGGGCUCAAUGGACAGCGGGGAUGGAAUAGCUGUUGGGUGGUUAGGACAUCCUAUCUUUAGAGAUAAAGAGGGGCAUGAACUUUUUGUACGUCGUAUGCCUACGUUUUUUGAAACAUUUCCAGUUGUUUUGGUCGAUGGGGACGGAAUUGUUAGAGCCGAUGUUCCUUUUAGAAGGGCCGAAUCAAAAUAUAGUGUCGAACAAGUAGGUGUAACUGUUGAGUUCUAUGGCGGCGAACUGAAUGGGGUCAGUUAUAGCGACCCUGCUACUGUGAAAAAAUACGCUAGACGUGCUCAAUUGGGUGAAAUUUUUGAAUUAGAUCGUGCUACUUUGAAAUCUGAUGGUGUUUUUCGUAGCAGUCCAAGGGGUUGGUUUACCUUUGGGCAUGCUUCGUUUGCUUUGCUCUUCUUC
RNA transcript from Fragaria vesca subsp. vesca, 1045 nucleotides. It is a transcript of the gene named photosystem II CP47 chlorophyll apoprotein-like, with no coding region annotated. Lineage: Eukaryota; Viridiplantae; Streptophyta; Magnoliopsida; Rosales; Rosaceae. The transcript has a single exon. The record is from RefSeq and is a predicted model, not a curated record. The annotation marks the transcript as partial.